Molecule: transfer RNA, 59 nt
Filed under: Otolemur garnettii (small-eared galago)
Lineage: Eukaryota; Metazoa; Chordata; Mammalia; Primates; Galagidae
Rfam family: tRNA
About the family: Transfer RNA (tRNA) molecules are approximately 80 nucleotides in length. Their secondary structure includes four short double-helical elements and three loops (D, anti-codon, and T loops). Further hydrogen bonds mediate the characteristic L-shaped molecular structure. tRNAs have two regions of fundamental functional importance: the anti-codon, which is responsible for specific mRNA codon recognition, and the 3' end, to which the tRNAs corresponding amino acid is attached (by aminoacyl-tRNA synthetases). tRNAs cope with the degeneracy of the genetic code in two manners: having more than one tRNA (with a specific anti-codon) for a particular amino acid; and 'wobble' base-pairing, i.e. permitting non-standard base-pairing at the 3rd anti-codon position.
Source: Rfam by way of RNAcentral
GUGGCUCAAGGAGUAGGGUGCUGGCCUCAUAUGCCAGAAGUGGUGGGUUCAAACCCAUC